AGCGAACGCUGGCGGCAGGCCUAACACAUGCAAGUCGAACGAACUCUUCGGAGUUAGUGGCGGACGGGUGAGUAACACGUGGGAACGUGCCUUUAGGCUCGGAAUAACUCAGGGAAACGUGUGCUAAUACCGAAUGUGUCCUUCGGGGGAAAGAUUUAUCGCCUUUAGAGCGGCCCGCGUCUGUUUAGCUUGUUGGCGGGGUAAAGGCUGACCACGGCGAAGCUCAGUAGCUGGUCAGAGAGGAUGAUACGCCACACUGGGACUGAGAGACGGUCCAAACUACUACGGUAGGAAGCAGUCCGGAAUCUUGGACGGAGGGCGCAAGGGUGAUCCAGCCCUACCGCGUGGGUGCCGAAGGCCUCCGGGCCGUAGAGACCUUUUGUUGUGAAAGAAAAGAAGCUGGUUCAUCCGGGGCUGUUAUGACGGUACCCAAAGAAUAAGCCCCGGCUAACUUCGUG
RNAcentral lists this ribosomal RNA (458 nucleotides) under uncultured bacterium. Its description in RNAcentral is "partial 16S ribosomal RNA". It matches the Rfam family "Bacterial small subunit ribosomal RNA", at positions 29 to 507 of the family's 1533-position model. The record is from RNAcentral.